GAUGAACGCUGGCGGCGUGCCUAAUACAUGCAAGUCGAGCGAGCAGAUAAGGAGCUUGCUCCUUUGACGUUAGCGGCGGACGGGUGAGUAACACGUGGAUAACCUACCUAUAAGACUGGGAUAACUUCGGGAAACCGGAGCUAAUACCGGAUAACAUAUUGAACCGCAUGGUUCAAUAGUGAAAGGCGGCUUUGCUGUCACUUAUAGAUGGAUCCGCGCCGUAUUAGCUAGUUGGUAAGGUAACGGCUUACCAAGGCAACGAUACGUAGCCGACCUGAGAGGGUGAUCGGCCACACUGGAACUGAGACACGGUCCAGACUCCUACGGGAGGCAGCAGUAGGGAAUCUUCCGCAAUGGGCGAAAGCCUGACGGAGCAACGCCGCGUGAGUGAUGAAGGUCUUCGGAUCGUAAAACUCUGUUAUCAGGGAAGAACAAAUGUGUAAGUAACUGUGCACAUCUUGACGGUACCUGAUCAGAAAGCCACGGCUAACUACGUG
This 497-nucleotide ribosomal RNA is filed under the name uncultured bacterium. RNAcentral describes it as "partial 16S ribosomal RNA". It matches the Rfam family "Bacterial small subunit ribosomal RNA", at positions 28 to 507 of the family's 1533-position model. The record is from RNAcentral.